Molecule: ribosomal RNA, 585 nt
Filed under: uncultured bacterium
Lineage: Bacteria
Description: bacterial SSU rRNA
Rfam family: Bacterial small subunit ribosomal RNA
Source: RNAcentral
CCUACGGGAGGCAGCAGUAGGGAAUAUUGGACAAUGGGGGCAACCCUGAUCCAGCCAUGCCGCGUGAGUGAAGAAGGCCCUCGGGUUGUAAAGCUCUUUUGUCCGGAAAGAAAAGCAAUCGGUUAAUACCCGGUUGUCCUGACGGUACCGGAAGAAUAAGCACCGGCUAACUUCGUGCCAGCAGCCGCGGUAAUACGAAGGGUGCAAGCGUUACUCGGAAUUACUGGGCGUAAAGCGUGCGUAGGUGGUUCGUUAAGUCUGGUGUGAAAGCCCUGGCUCAACCUGGGAAUGGCAUUGGAUACUGGCGGGCUAGAGUGCGUAGAGGGUAGUGGAAUUCCCGGUGUAGCAGUGAAAUGCGUAGAGAUCGGGAGGAACAUCUGUGGCGAAGGCGACUGCCUGGACCAGCACUGACACUGAGGCACGRAAGCGUGGGGAGCAAACAGGAUUAGAUACCCUGGUAGUCCACGCCCUAAACGAUGCGAACUGGAUGUUGGGUUCAACUUGGAACUCAGUAUCGAAGCUAACGCGUUAAGUUCGCCGCCUGGGGAGUACGGUCGCAAGACUGAAACUCAAAGGAAUUGACGG